Molecule: small RNA, 414 nt
Filed under: Pan troglodytes (chimpanzee)
Lineage: Eukaryota; Metazoa; Chordata; Mammalia; Primates; Hominidae
Description: processed transcript
Source: RNAcentral
CUUUCUUGGCCAGAGGCGCCGGUUGGACUCACGGGCGGGGCAUGAUGGUGGUGGGUACAGGCACCUCGCUGGCGCUCUCCUCCCUCCUGUCCCUGCUGCUCUUUGCUGGGAUGCAGAUGUACAGCCGUCAGCUGGCCUCCACCGAGUGGCUCACCAUCCAGGGCGGCCUGCUUGGUUCGGGUCUCUUCGUGUUCUCGCUCACUGAGGCACCAGGCUGGCAGAUGCCCACUGGUGCCAUGACCUUUCUGUCUUCACCAUUUAGCUUCAUCUUCUCCAUGAUUGGUCUGUACUACAUCAACAAGAUCUCCUCCACCCUGUACCAGGCAGCAGCUCCAGUCCUCACACCAGCCAAGGUCACAGGCAAGAGCAAGAAGAGAAACUGACCCUGAAUGUUCAAUAAAGUUGAUUCUUUGU